GCAAGGAUAAUCACAAAUUUGGAAACAAGAACAAUUUGUGAAGCCAGAAUUUCGUUCCAGGCUAGCAGAUGUGACUACGUCUGCUCCCCAACAGCAUGGACACCAGACCUCAGACAAUUCCUCCCAGGAGAAGAGAGUUCCAAAGCAAGAGUAGGACAGGGUGACAAGAACCAUGAAAGGAAGGCAGGUGAGCCAGGAUGGACGGCAGGAUUCUCACCAAGGUCACCUGUUCACAUCCAAUCAAUAUUGUUUCACAUACUAUUUUCAAGAACAGACUAAUUACAGAAAGAAAGAAAACUGGGCUACAUAUCACAGAAACACAAGAAACAUUUAAAGCUCCUGGGUCUUCUUGAGAGUUGUCCUGGUGCUGUCAUCAUUUAGUAUUAAUGCUGG
Fukomys damarensis (Damara mole-rat) is the source of this 393-nucleotide long non-coding RNA. RefSeq lists it as uncharacterized. The transcript is spliced from 4 exons. The record is from RefSeq and is a predicted model, not a curated record. Lineage: Eukaryota; Metazoa; Chordata; Mammalia; Rodentia; Bathyergidae.